GUUAGAGCGCGCGCUUGAUAAGCGUGAGGUCGGAAGUUCAAGUCUUCCCAGGCCCACCACACUCAUCGAGUGAGCAUUCGUCUUCUGGUUACGGGGCCAUAGCUCAGCUGGGAGAGCGCGUGCUUUGCAAGCAUGAGGUCGUCGGUUCGAUCCCGUCUGGCUCCACCAGAUGGUUUGAUCACCGACUACUCAUACCGUCGUCCGCGAAACAUCACUUCGCACUUACUAGUCUGGAUGGACAGUGAGCUGCGUGAUUUCUGACAUCGUAAAGAGGAGAUCGAUCCGAGUUGGAUCGGGCAACAAGCAAUUGUUGCGCGAUACUUCAUUAUCUCCGGAUCAUUUCGGCGCUCGUGCGUCUUCCAGGGUAGCUCACAAGGCUGCAUCUGAAGGACAAGCGAGUUGUAAAUGAUCCUUUUAGCGAAGCUUGACCGCCUCGCUAUCGGAACGAUCUUACGAAGCAAGCUGGUCUUUCUAAUCAUUGUCCGGCUGCAGAUAGCGUUCAUCGAGGGCGCGUGCCUUAGAGACUUAGGUUUCUUGGCGAUUCUGCAGACAACAUUCUGCCGAGUGUGUGGACAUUGAUAAUGAGAGCAAUCAAGUGCCUUAAGGGUGUUCGGUGGAUGCCUUGGCGCUGAGAGGCGAUGAAGGACGUGCUACGCUGCGAUAAGCCGUGGGGAGCUGCGAAGAAGCUUUGAUCCAUGGAUUUCC
This 705-nucleotide unclassified non-coding RNA is filed under the name Bradyrhizobium sp. RNAcentral's name for it is "partial 16S-23S ribosomal RNA intergenic spacer region". The stretch from base 590 to 705 matches the Rfam family "Bacterial large subunit ribosomal RNA", at positions 1 to 115 of the family's 2925-position model. The record is from RNAcentral. Lineage: Bacteria; Pseudomonadati; Pseudomonadota; Alphaproteobacteria; Hyphomicrobiales; Nitrobacteraceae.